RNAcentral lists this ribosomal RNA (156 nucleotides) under uncultured bacterium. RNAcentral's name for it is "partial 16S ribosomal RNA". It matches the Rfam family "Bacterial small subunit ribosomal RNA", at positions 355 to 509 of the family's 1533-position model. The record is from RNAcentral.
UGAGGAAUAUUGGUCAAUGGGCGCGAGCCUGAACCAGCCAAGCGCGUGAGGGAGGACGGCCCUACGGGUUGUAAACCUCUUUGCCGGGGAGCAACGGGCGUCACGUGUGGCGCCACUGAGAGUACCCGGAGAAAAAGCAUCGGCUAACUCCGUGCC